CAAUCAUAUGUCUUCUACCCAUUAGAAGAGGAAUAAGAAAGCAAAGGUUAAAAAUCAGCUGUUUCAAGUUUUUGAUAUAAAAAGAGAAAGUUUUCAGAAAAAUCCUGAUACCUUCCAGGAUGUGACUCUUGCAAAUUUACAAGAAAAGGCAACUAAUCUAACAGCUUGAGAUCAAAGAACCUCUUGAAGACUUAUUUCAAGUUGCUGAUAUAAAAAGUAGAGGUUUUCAGCAAAGUCCUGGUUUUCCUGUUGUACAACUUGGAACAUACUAGAAAAGAAUUCAUAUGCACUAAAAUAUUUACAGAUUUUUCACCUCUCCUGUCAAGAAGCCCAGCUCCAGUUAACGUAUGUGUACUAUUGUUCUCUGUUCUUUUCUGUAUUUUUAAAACUUAAAUAUG
RNAcentral lists this long non-coding RNA (398 nucleotides) under Camelus dromedarius (Arabian camel). RNAcentral's name for it is "lncRNA (ENSCDRG00005000631.1)". The record is from RNAcentral. Lineage: Eukaryota; Metazoa; Chordata; Mammalia; Artiodactyla; Camelidae.